AACGCUAGCUACAGGCUUAACACAUGCAAGUCGAGGGGUAACAAGAGGAAAGCUUGCUUUCCUUGUUGACGACCGGCGCACGGGUGAGUAACGCGUAUCCAACCUGCCUAUAACUAGGGAAUAACCUUGCGAAAGUAAGACUAAUGCCCUAUGACUUCCUUUGAUGACAUCAAAUUAGGAAUAAAGAUUUAUCGGUUAUAGAUGGGGAUGCGUCUGAUUAGCUUGUUGGCGGGGUAACGGCCCACCAAGGCAACGAUCAGUAGGGGUUCUGAGAGGAAGGUCCCCCACAUUGGAACUGAGACACGGUCCAAACUCCUACGGGAGGCAGCAGUGAGGAAUAUUGGUCAAUGGACGAGAGUCUGAACCAGCCAAGUAGCGUGCAGGAUGACGGCCCUAUGGGUUGUAAACUGCUUUUAUAAGGGAAUAAAGUGAGUCUCGUGAGACUUUUUGCAUGUACCUUAUGAAUAAGGACCGGCUAAUUCCGUGCCAGCAGCCGCGGUAAUACGGAAGGUCCGGGCGUUAUCCGGAUUUAUUGGGUUUAAAGGGAGCGUAGGCCGGAGAUUAAGCGUGUUGUGAAAUGUAGAUGCUCAACAUCUGCACUGCAGCGCGAACUGGUUUCCUUGAGUACGCACAAAGUGGGCGGAAUUCGUGGUGUAGCGGUGAAAUGCUUAGAUAUCACGAAGAACUCCGAUUG
This 694-nucleotide ribosomal RNA is filed under the name uncultured bacterium. RNAcentral describes it as "bacterial SSU rRNA". It matches the Rfam family "Bacterial small subunit ribosomal RNA", at positions 32 to 715 of the family's 1533-position model. The record is from RNAcentral.